RNAcentral lists this ribosomal RNA (467 nucleotides) under uncultured Oomycota. Its description in RNAcentral is "LSU rRNA". The stretch from base 1 to 83 matches the Rfam family "Bacterial large subunit ribosomal RNA", at positions 476 to 559 of the family's 2925-position model. The record is from RNAcentral. Lineage: Eukaryota; Oomycota.
GUGCGAGACCGAUAGCGAACAAGUACCGUGAGGGAAAGAUGAAAAGAACUUUGAAAAGAGAGUUAAAGAGUACCUGAAACUGCUGAAAGGGAAGCGAAUCGUAUCCAGUGUCUAUAAUCUGCGGCAUAUUUCAUUGGCGGCGGUGCGCGUGCUUUUGCGUCGGAAGCGGCUUUUGUUGCUCUGUGCUUUUGCUGUGCGUGGUGUUGCUGGUGCCCUGUGUUGCGGUGGGACGUCAGAGUCAGUUUGUACGCUGCGGGAAAUGGCUGCCGAGGAGGUAGGUCGAGAUUUCGGCCUUGGCUGUUAUAUCUUGGUGGUUUGUUGUCGUGGUUGAGACUGAGGUGCCUACAAUGUGCUUUUGAGUGUACCGGGUUCUCAUUUGGUGGACUGUUUGGAUAGCUUGCUAUGCUUGUGGUUUUUUCAUCGGGUGAUUGAGUCUGGUGGUAACUUGUUGCUGUUCGGGACUUUGA